Molecule: long non-coding RNA, 784 nt
Filed under: Mus spicilegus (steppe mouse)
Lineage: Eukaryota; Metazoa; Chordata; Mammalia; Rodentia; Muridae
Description: lncRNA (ENSMSIG00000029011.1)
Source: RNAcentral
AUGUGUCACCAUGCCUGGUUGAUACGAAACCUUCACAGACUAGGACAUAGAGACAUUGUUAGAAGACAGUUGGAGACCUUGUGCAGGUGUGUUGGGAAGAACAUGCCUUGCCUACCCACAGAGAAUAACUCAUAUGAAUUUGAGAAGCCAAUUGAAGAAUGCUGUGACAGAAUUAAGCGACACCCUUGCCCUGCUGUUCAGCAGGGUCCUUGCUGCUCUCCCAGCUGUAGAAGGUAUCUUCCUUCGCCACAUCCUCAUCGUAUAGAGCCUCAAAGAACAUCCGAAGCGGGUUGGCAGGUCAUUCUAAGGUCACUUCUCACUACAAGGGCCUGGAGAGCAUUAGAGUGCUCAUAGCUCCUCCUGCUCACCACACAGGUAUUUCCGCAGCCGUCUUGCGCCCACUUUCAACACUUGAACAUCCCCUCGGAGAGGAGUCUCAGCUCUCUCCAGUCAAACCCACGCUGAUUACUGCCGCAGUCCUUCAGCUGCUUCUCUGGCUGCUGAAGGGGAGCGCCCUCUGCCCAAGACCUUCAGAUUCUUCUCCCAAGGUCUAUUCCACCUUCUUUUCAGCCACAAAUGAGCCAAUGAGUCUUGGCCCUCUGCUAGAAAUUCUCUCCAGCUCACCCCAGCCUCUUGCCACUGCAUCCCCACCUUUUUGGGACCCCAUGCUCUUGCAUAAGAGACCCAGGAUCUCCAGCAACAAAGAAGACAGUGUCUGAAGACAGCGACAGUGUACUCACAUACAUGAAAUAAAUAAAUAGGGGGGGGGGGGGGGGGAGGAAGU